RNAcentral lists this ribosomal RNA (492 nucleotides) under uncultured bacterium. RNAcentral's name for it is "partial 16S ribosomal RNA". It matches the Rfam family "Bacterial small subunit ribosomal RNA", at positions 29 to 507 of the family's 1533-position model. The record is from RNAcentral.
AGUGAACGCUGGCGGUAGGCCUAACACAUGCAAGUCGAACGGCAGCACAGUAAGAGCUUGCUCUUACGGGUGGCGAGUGGCGGACGAGUGAGGAAUACAUCGGAAUCUACUUUUUCGUGGGGGAUAACGUAGGUAAACUUACGCUAAUACCGCAUACGACCUACGGGUGAAAGCAGGGGAUCUUCGGACCUUGCGCGAUUGAAUGAGCCGAUGUCGGAUUAGCUAGUUGGCGGGGUAAAGGCCCACCAAGGCGACGAUCCGUAGCUGGUCUGAGAGGAUGAUCAGCCACACUGGAACUGAGACACGGUCCAGACUCCUACGGGAGGCAGCAGUGGGGAAUAUUGGACAAUGGGCGCAAGCCUGAUCCAGCCAUACCGCGUGGGUGAAGAAGGCCUUCGGGUUGUAAAGCCCUUUUGUUGGGAAAGAAAAGCAGCAGGUUAAUACCCCGCUGUUCUGACGGUACCCAAAGAAUAAGCACCGGCUAACUUCGUG